CUCUUUGCAUCACUUUUAUUUUUUUUCAAAUAAACUUUGGGGAGAUAAGGAGAUUUAUUGCCUCUUAUAUCCCUCUGUUGAGCCAAAAAAGAAAUGGAUAGUAUCUCCUUUAAGAUAAAUCUCCGAAUAUUUUUCUUCAAUAUUUUUUUUUUUUUUUUGUUGAUAGCUCAUGACAGUGGAGCAUAUAUUUUGCUCGAAAUAAGGCAAAACUUUUGGUCUCGGGUGGAAUCAGGAAUGGCGUCGAGUGUGGUGAAAUCCCUAAUCAAAUCAUCAUCUUCCUCACACCGCCAAAUGGAUGCAGGAACUGAUCAUUGAACAUAGAUUUUUCGGGAGCAUAAGCCAAUUAGACUACAAUGAGAAACCAAAUGUAACACUAUUCUAGGUAGCCUGCAUUUCAAUCAAGUUCCUUGUCAGUGAAACUCUGAGCACAUUUUACUAGUCAACACACUGUGUUGGUUCAGAUGGUGUUCGUGUUGUCAUCUUAGCUUUACAACAAUGAGUGUUCUGCAUAAGAGAAUAGAGUGCUUGUAGUAUGAGGCUGGAGGACACGAUGGAGCUGCUGGAGAAGAAGCUAGCGUCAGAUGAGCUUAGAGGAGGCACUCACUCUCGCUCGUGUUUUCAGCCAUUACCUCAAUUUGAUGGGCGUUGCUGAAGUUCAUCACAGGUCACUCAACGACUUGAUCUCUCUGUAUUAUUUUUUUUAAUACUAAAUCUUUUGUUUUUUGAUAUGUGCUGUGUGUGUUUAUACUUGUUUGGAAAUGAAAUAUGAAGCACCAGAGCUUCAGGAAAUAGUAGUGCUUAUCAAGGAUUGACUUCUAACUUUGGUUCUACGGUUAAAAUUGUGACAUUCUUAGCUUCCGAAAAGAUAACAUGAAAAAACAAAAAUUGGUUGAAAUUCUUUCAGCUGUGAAUUUUAUAAGCAUUUUGGUUAAUUUAGAGAAAGUUGUUGAUUUGUGCAGGGUUCGUAGACAAAAGAAUGUGGCAUCCCUAUCAAAAUCUUGUGAUGAUAUUUUUAAUCAGCUUCUCAGCAUGGUGUUUCCCCAGACCAGCUUUACGAUACCGUUUGCAAGCAGGAGGUCAAGAUUGUUCUUACUGCACAUCCUACACAAAUUAAUCGCGGAACCUUACAAUACAAACAUAUCAGACUUUCUCAUCUUUUAAAUUUAAGAGACCGACCUGAUCUUACUAGUAAAGACAAAGAUAUGGUGCGAGAGAUAACUUUUGUAUGGCAAACAGAUGAGCUUAGACACCAUAAACCCACACCAGUUGAUGAAGCUAGGGCACUUUUGAACAUUGUGGAGCAGCCCCUUUGGAAAGUUGUACCUCAUUAUUUACGUCGUGUCAGCAAUGCUUUAAAGAAGCACACUGGGAAACUGGAAAACCACUUCCUUUGAAAUGCACACCAAUCAGGUUUGGGUCUUGGAUAGGGGUUGAUCAAGAUGGAAAUCCCAAUGUGACAGCAAAGGUCACAAAAGAUGUCUCGCUUUUAUCUAGGUGGAUGACUAUUGAUCUCUAUAUUAGAGAAGUGGAUAGCCUGAAAUUUGAACUAUCCAUGAAUUAGUGCAGCGAUAGCUUGUCAAAACUGGCACAAGAGAUUCUAGAGCACGGUAUGACAUAUUGCAGUUAUUUUCAGUGGUCAUUAAUAUUGGCUGCUUGGUAUCAUGUAGAGACUACCAAAGCAUAGCUUCCAUUGUUUUUCUUUGACAAUUUCCUUAACAGAUUACUCCUAUGUUUCUGAUUUUUUUUUUUUUUAUUGCUUGAACUUUAGUUUGAGGGGCUGGGAUUAUGUUGUUCUGAGACUCGGAUCUUAUUAAUAGAACAAUUUAAAUCUCUAGAUCACUUCUGUGUAUGCAGAAUAAAAAACGUUGAAAGGCAGAUGAACGCUCUUACUUUAUGUUCUGCCAAGCAGGUAGACCAGAUGGUUAAUUAGUGAAAGUAAUUGAGUGAAAAAACUGGAGUCAUAGUUUACAAAAUUCUUUGUGUUUUAUGGACCUAUGGGAAUUUGACUUCUCUUACCCCAUCUCUUCUAUGCGUAAGUACACACUGGUCAUCCCUCCUGGUUUCUUAAGGUUUCAAUUUAUUUUUAAUAGAUGAUGAAUAUUCUUGUGAAUCAAUUUAUAAUGUUAACGUAAUUGAGAUUCUCUCAUCAGAAUCUGCAUCUGAGGAUCACCAGAGUUGGGAUCAUCAGUGUUAUAAUAGGAAUCAGGUAAAGUAACAACCUGCAGCACUUCCAACACAACUUCCAGCUAGAGCUGAUCAACCGUCUUGCACUGAAUGCAAUGUUGUUCAUCUUCACUAUCCCAGAAUUGAAAUGUUGGUCAUUUUAACUGAAGAUUGCAUUGGGGCAGGAAUCUGGUAGACAUGCUGAAACACUUAAUGAAAUUACCAAAUAUUUGGAUAUGGGCACAUACAGUGAGUGGGAUGAAGAAAAGAAACUGGAAUUUCUAACAAGAGAGUUCAAAGGAAAAAGACCGCUAGUCCCACCUAGCAUGGAGGUAAAGUAGUAGUGUUAGGACUUAGGAUUACUAUGCUCCAAAGUUCAGAAUAAGUUACUUCUACCCGAAUUUUUCAAAAAAAA
Rosa rugosa (rugosa rose) is the source of this 2578-nucleotide long non-coding RNA. RefSeq lists it as uncharacterized. The record is from RefSeq and is a predicted model, not a curated record. The transcript is spliced from 10 exons. Lineage: Eukaryota; Viridiplantae; Streptophyta; Magnoliopsida; Rosales; Rosaceae.